RNAcentral lists this transfer RNA (65 nucleotides) under Pericapritermes nitobei. Its description in RNAcentral is "tRNA-Asn". Lineage: Eukaryota; Metazoa; Arthropoda; Insecta; Blattodea; Termitidae. The record is from RNAcentral.
UUAACUGAAACCAAAAAGAGGUAUAUUAUUGUUAAUAAUAAAAUUGAAUUUUAAUUCCAGUUAAA